GUGUCUUUGGCAUCGAUGCCUUGUAAAUUCUUAUGCAAGUAGACUUUAAAAUAUGUUUGACUUAGGUCUUCUUUAUGUUCAUUUAGAUGUUGACAAUUAUUUUUUUAAAGUCUAGUUAUGAAAUUUGUUCUCUUCGUAAGGCUAUAAGGCUGUCUUUUGCACCUAGUUCUUAUAAUGUUGAUACACUUUUUGAUCUUAUUCAUAUCUGAUUUAUUGGGACCAUCACCAUCUUUAUCUAGGUUGAGUUAUAGAUAUUUUAUUUUAUUUAUUGAUCAUUACACAUGUUUU
Molecule: long non-coding RNA, 288 nt
Filed under: Carica papaya (papaya)
Lineage: Eukaryota; Viridiplantae; Streptophyta; Magnoliopsida; Brassicales; Caricaceae
Description: long non-coding RNA (CPAP_LNC006738)
Source: RNAcentral